This 3840-nucleotide long non-coding RNA is filed under the name Equus caballus (horse). Its description in RNAcentral is "lncRNA (ENSECAG00000034614.3)". Lineage: Eukaryota; Metazoa; Chordata; Mammalia; Perissodactyla; Equidae. The record is from RNAcentral.
GUGUGACCUAUAUUGUGGACUGCAUGCCUGGAAGUUGAGCAGGCCACGAGGCCAAAGCUAAGAGGAUUGCAGAGACGCUGGUCCCAGACCAUUUGACCACCGACCCAAUGUCAGCACCUUCUUGUGGUGUGAAGGGAGGGACCUGUUUGUUAACCGGCCAUUCUAUUACUUGCAGCUGAGAACAUUCCCAAAUGAAGUAUAUGGAUUUGCUGAGGCUUGUCGAAUAAGGCCUUUCACCUACAAGAAACUGCUGCCUGAUUUUCAAAGCACAUCACCAGUGUGUGUCCUCUAGUGGGGACGAGGCUGGGCGAGGUAGCCUGGUCCUCAUCUGCCGAGCUGGUCCGAGAGUUGUUAUUUUGGUCUUUUCGUGAAUCUUAAUUUAAGGAGAGAGCCAGUUUCCCCUCGUUCCUGUGUUAUACAUCAGGGAGCUAUGGGGUCAGUGGGGCAUCAGCGGGCCGUGAAGGAGAACUCUGACAGUGUCCCAUAUGGAUGGAAAACUUAGAGAUGUUUACCACCCUUUCAAGAGAUGUGAAUUUCUCAGCAGAAGGCAAGUGUCUUUUUAUUUGAGCUACGAGGAUGAUGGAUCCAGAAGCCAAACAGCAAGGUGGAAUGCUGGCGUAAAUUAAGCAGAUCACCUCUGAGAUGGAUUCAUCAAAAAAUCCAUGAAGACAGCUUGUUUUUUGUGGAAAUUACCUCUUGUUCUCAUCACAAUCCUUUCUUAGUGUUGGGGGUUGGGGUCGUAAUGCUGCCUAAGCCAGUGAAAACCAAUAUGGUAAUUGGAGGGAAAUUGCUUUAAAGGAAUGGCGAAUGAUGAAAUGUGCCUGUUCCAUCAUUGACUCUUAAAUAGAUCUGGUGCAUCUGUGCAAAUAGCUUUGGAAGCCCCGGCAGGGCCACCAAAUACAGUUGUCUGGGCUGCUCACUGUACAAAUCUUGGAGCCAUCAAUUGCAUAAAAUGACCAUAUGUGACAGCCUCAGGAGAAGUGCCUGGUGAUUUUAACUGUCUCUGAUGCUCAUCCCAGCUUCUCUGGCACAUAUCCUUAUUGACUUUGCUUUUUCGUUCCAGCCUUUUUAUCAAUUCAUUCAUCUUCCAAUGCAGAAGGUCUCAAUUUUGCCUCUCAUACCUCUUCCUCAUGCAAGCCCCCGUCACUUGGCUAGACCAAGCCACACAAGAGGACGGACCCUCACCUCUCACCGGUCCUUGAGAUGCCUAGACAAGAAGCUUGGCUGCAGCCACAGCAUUGUUCUCCUCCCAGCCUCCAAAGAACCCAGGGCUCUCAAAGCAAAGUGUUCUUCCUCCCGAUGGGACCAGAUGGGCUGUCCAGAUAGUUUCCAUUUGCCAUCUCAAGUAAAACACCAAGAUGCUACAAAAAGAAGCCUGGCUUUUCCAUCUCGCUCCUCAACUUAGCAUGUGGACCUCAAAUUAUUCCCAGUGCCAAUCCUUUGAGAAAACGAACCGUUGAAAGAGCCAGGGGGGAAGGGAGAAGGAAAAAAAGAACACGUGAGCUCUUUCUAAAGAAAUCUGAAGGGCAGUAGGUGGAGGAAACGACCAUGUUUGCUCCAUCCUCUUGGUGUGAUGGUCAAGGGCACGGGUUUUGCUGAAGCCAGGUGCCCAUCCCAGCUGUCCCUCUUUUAUCCAUGUGACUCUGGGCAGAGCAUUCCACUGCUCUGAGUCUGUUUCCUCGACUCCUAAAAAAAGGAUAAUUAUGCUUACAUUCAAGACUUGCUUUGAAGAUGAAGUGACAUAAUACAUGAAGCAUUUGGGACUCAUAAUCAGUUAUCAGUAGACUUUAGCUGUUAUUAUUUUAUUAUUAUCAACAACUAUAAAGGGGAGAAAGGCAGACUCUUGCUUAGCAGAGCAGGAAACUUUUUAAAAAAUUGCUAGAGCUCGUCAAAGAGGGCAGAACAAUCUUUUGAGAUUAUCAGCAUUCCAGACUUCAGACCUUGAAAUAUCAACAGGAUGACCAUCUCUCAGGGAUGUUGUAGAGGAGAUUCCCACUUUGUGGGUCCUUCUGUGAGGGAUGCCAGAGGAAGGGCAGUGUAUUAAAUCAUCAGAGAUGCCCCUUAGCCACCAGAUACUCUGAAACUGUGCUACUAUUCUAAGAGCUUACCCACAUUCUGAUCUUUGGAGAUAGUUUGGUGUCAUUCCUUCCUUCCUUUCAUCUAUCCAUCGAUCCAUCGAUCCAUCGAUCCAUCCAUCCAUCUACCCAUCUACCCACCUCUCUAUCUACCUACCUACCUACCUGGCUAUCAUCUUAGGAGUUAAACCUGAAAGUUCCGGAUGAUAGCAUUUCUUGGGCUGGUGGAAGAUCCUCUGAGUCUUUAUCUGAUGGAAUUUUGAAUCUUUGUUGAUGCUGAUAAUGCCCAAUUAAGAAGUCAGCUCUUCCUAUCCCUUCAAUCCAUUCCCAUUAGCAUCUUAUUGUCAUGGGAGAACCUGAGCUCUUUGGGCAUAUAGAUCUGGGUUUGAAUCCCUCUUAGCUGGCUGAGUGACCUUCAGUAGGUUAUUUACCUUCUCUGAGCCCUGUUUCCUUAUUUAUCAGGAAAUGAUAUCCAUAUAUGAGUGGUGUGGUUUGGGGGAGGUUUAGCGAUAAUGUCUGCAUAGUACCUAGCACAAUAUCUGACAGAGCUGGGAUACAGGACCUGGAAAUUACAACAAUAAACACUAUAAUAGUAAAAAUACUUAUUUGUAUUGUUAGUACUAUUUAUUCCUUUUUUAAAAACUAUAAAAAGAGCUAUUUCAUUUGAAACAGUCAGCCACAGAGAAAGACUAUCCUGCAGUGAGUAGGGGAGAAAAACACCACAGUGGGAUGAGAAAGAUUUGAUCUGUAGAAGUUUGGGGCUGUGUGUGUGAUUUUUAUAAGAUUGGCAGCCGUAAAAAGAACUUACAAGAGUAGCUAUCAGGGGAGAAACUGAUCACAAAGCUUAGCGUAAGCAAGAAUUAUGCUUUUCUUCUGUGCUCCAGGAACGCUGCACCCUCUGGGGGCUGGUUUUCAUUCACAAUCUUAGUAACUCCGGAGCUGCAGACAGCCAACCUUGCAUUGAUGGGAGCCCUGCAGGGGAGCGAGGCCACCCGGAUAACCAGGGACCACAGUUACGCCUAUUGUUACUACUCUCCACGGAGUGCGUGUGUUUGUGUGUGUGUGUCAUCGUGCUAGGAUGAUUCCAGCCCUUUGCGGGACACGGUGGCGAGAUGCAGAAUUCUCAGCACAUAACCACUCUGUUCAAACAUGGCUUCUAGCAGCAGAAGACCACGUCCCUAGGAUGCCCCCAGAUCCCAUUAAAAGGCCUGCCUGAGAAAGCUCAGUACUGCCAGGAAAGUUACUGUGUGUUCCAGCCAACACCUGACACAGGCCCCUGACCUCCCUUUCUUAGACCAUUUACUAAAAAGGUCUUAUGAUGGUGAACAUGUAUCUCUUACAGCUCACGUGUUUUUCUCAAGGACCUGAGAGCCUUUCGUUUCCAAAGGGAUAGGCCUCCCAGUCUCUGUGGGAGGAUGGAAUUCUAAAUUUGAUAACUCCCAGCUAGCAGACACAGCUGACCUAACUGCAUUCACGCUGACCAAUCCUUUGCAAGCUUUCUCUUCUCUGACUCAGCUGAGCCCCUGCUCUCCCCCUCCCUCAUUCUCCCUUUAAAAUGCCCAGAUCCCCUCUGCACAAAUUGGAAUGGAGCUCAGCUUUUCCCCCUGCUGUCAGCAGUUACUGAAUAAAAUCUGUUUUCAUUGCAUUAAUUAAUGUCUGGCCAUGUUUGUCUUUGACAGAGGAAAGGCUUUCCCAGGGCAAGGUGGAUGUAUUUGUCUGGUCACUGGCAGAGGGUCAAGGGAUGUUUCUCUCCUUCCUCCCAAAC